Molecule: ribosomal RNA, 452 nt
Filed under: uncultured Campylobacterota bacterium
Lineage: Bacteria; Pseudomonadati; Campylobacterota
Description: bacterial SSU rRNA
Rfam family: Bacterial small subunit ribosomal RNA
Source: RNAcentral
GCCUAACACAUGCAAGUCGAGCGGUAACAGGUCUAGUUUACUAGAUGCUGACGAGCGGCGGACGGCUGAGUAACGCGUGGGAACAUGCCCCAAAGUGAGGAAUAACUGCCCGAAAGGGUAGCUAAUGCCGCAUAUGAUCUUCGGAUUAAAGGAUUUAUCCGCUUUGGGAGUGGCCCGCGUACGAUUAGGUAGUUGGUGAGGUAAUGGCUCACCAAGCCCACGAUCGUUAACUGGUCUGAGAGGAUGAUCAGUCAGACUGGAACUGAGACACGGUCCAGACUCCUACGGGAGGCAGCAGUGAGGAAUCUUCCACAAUGGGCGAAAGCCUGAUGGAGCGACGCCGCGUGCAGGAUGAAGGCCCUCGGGUUGUAAACUGCUUUUAUAAGUGAAGAAUAUGACGGUAACUUAUGAAUAAGCACCGGCUAACUACGUGCCAGCAGCCGCGGUAAUAC